Xenia sp. Carnegie-2017 is the source of this 93-nucleotide long non-coding RNA. RefSeq lists it as uncharacterized. Lineage: Eukaryota; Metazoa; Cnidaria; Anthozoa; Malacalcyonacea; Xeniidae. The transcript is spliced from 3 exons. The record is from RefSeq and is a predicted model, not a curated record.
CAAGGACAAAAGACAAAACGCUUUCAAAGCGCGCCAUUCAUCCCAUUCUUGCUGCCUUUGGUAAUGUCAGUCCUGUACAGUAUGUACUUCUAG